UUUAUCUACUCUAAAGAAGAGAGAAGCUCUCAUAUUCACUAUACUUUAAAACCGUUACAAGAUAUGUUGCAAAUGAGUUAUAAGGAAAUAAAAUUUAAAGUGAUAGAAAAUUUAGAUACAAUAAGAGACCAAUACACAACAGAUAUAAAAUUCUAUACACUUGUAGGAAUCUUGAGGAUCACUAAUAAAUAUAAGACGACAAAUUGAACAAACAAAGGCAUAAAAGAACACCAAUAUUUUUAACGUGGAAAACCCCUCAAUA
This 262-nucleotide long non-coding RNA is filed under the name Lathyrus oleraceus (garden pea). RNAcentral's name for it is "Pisum sativum (pea) long non-coding RNA (PSAT_LNC018480)". Lineage: Eukaryota; Viridiplantae; Streptophyta; Magnoliopsida; Fabales; Fabaceae. The record is from RNAcentral.